This 274-nucleotide ribosomal RNA is filed under the name uncultured bacterium. RNAcentral's name for it is "partial 16S ribosomal RNA". It matches the Rfam family "Archaeal small subunit ribosomal RNA", at positions 473 to 747 of the family's 1478-position model. The record is from RNAcentral.
AUACCAGCCCCGCGAGUGGUCGGGACGGUUAUUGGGCCUAAAGCGCCCGUAGCCGGCCCGGUAAGUUCCCGCCGAAAUCCCCGGGCUCAACCCGGGGGCCUGCGGGAAUACUGCCGGGCUAGGGGGCGGGAGAGGCCGGGGGUACUCCCGGGGUAGGGGCGAAAUCCUAUAAUCCCGGGAGGACCACCAGUGGCGAAGGCGCCCGGCUGGAACGCGCCCGACGGUGAGGGGCGAAAGCCGGGGGAGCGAACCGGAUUAGAAACCCUAGUAGUCC